AUUGAACGCUGGCGGCAUGCCUUACACAUGCAAGUCGAACGGCAGCACGGGUGCUUGCACCUGGUGGCGAGUGGCGAACGGGUGAGUAAUAUAUCGGAACAUACCCAGUAAUGGGGGAUAACUAUCCGAAAGGAUAGCUAAUACCGCAUACGCCCUAAGGGGGAAAGAGGGGGAUCGCAAGACCUCUUGUCAUUGGAGUGGCCGAUAUCUGAUUAGCUAGUUGGUAGGGUAAAAGCCUACCAAGGCGACGAUCAGUAGCUGGUUUGAGAGAACGACCAGCCACACUGGAACUGAGACACGGUCCAGACUCCUACGGGAGGCAGCAGUGGGGAAUUUUGGACAAUGGGCGCAAGCCUGAUCCAGCAAUGCCGCGUGAGUGAAGAAGGCCCUCGGGUUGUAAAGCUCUUUUGUCAGGGAAGAAAAGGUGCUCUCUAAUACAGGUCACUCAUGACGGUACCUGAAGAAUAAGCACCGGCUAACUACGUGCCAGCAGCCGCGGUAAUACGUAGGGUGCAAGCGUUAAAUCGGAAUUACUGGGCGUAAAGCGUGCCCGGGCGCUUAUACAGUUUAGAUGGGCAAUUCCCGUGGCCCCAUUUGGGACCUGCACUGUGAAUAUGUUCGGUUUAAGCGUGCAAGACUGGGGUCUCUUCUCCCCCGUACUCUUCUAUUUCUUCGUCUUCUCCUCCACCCCUCUUUUCCGCCUCUCU
Molecule: ribosomal RNA, 707 nt
Filed under: uncultured Pseudomonas sp.
Lineage: Bacteria; Pseudomonadati; Pseudomonadota; Gammaproteobacteria; Pseudomonadales; Pseudomonadaceae
Description: bacterial SSU rRNA
Rfam family: Bacterial small subunit ribosomal RNA
Source: RNAcentral